This 492-nucleotide ribosomal RNA is filed under the name uncultured bacterium. RNAcentral describes it as "partial 16S ribosomal RNA". It matches the Rfam family "Bacterial small subunit ribosomal RNA", at positions 29 to 507 of the family's 1533-position model. The record is from RNAcentral.
AGUGAACGCUGGCGGUAUGCCUAACACAUGCAAGUCGAACGGCAGCACAGUAAGAGCUUGCUCUUACGGGUGGCGAGUGGAGGACGGGUGAGGAAUACAUCGGAAUCUACUUUUUCGUGGGGGAUAACGUAGGGAAACUUACGCUAAUACCGCAUACGACCUACGGGUGAAAGCAGGGGAUCUUCGGACCUUGCGCGAUUGAAUGAGCCGAUGUCGGAUUAGCUAGUUGGCGGGGUAAAGGCCCACCAGGGCGACGAUCCGUAGCUGGUCUGAGAGGAUGAUCAGCCACACUGGAACUGAGACACGGUCCAGACUCCUACGGGAGGCAGCAGUGGGGAAUAUUGGACAAUGGGCGCAAGCCUGAUCCAGCCAUACCGCGUGGGUGAAGAAGGCCUUCGGGUUGUAAAGCCCUUUUGUUGGGAAAGAAAAGCAGCAGGUUAAUACCCCGCUGUUCUGACGGUACCCAAAGAAUAAGCACCGGCUAACUUCGUG